GUAGUUGACUCCGUGGCUACGAGACGACGCUGGCGGCGUGCCUAACACAUGCAAGUCGAGCGAUGAAGUUCCUUCGGGAACGGAUUAGCGGCGGACGGGUGAGUAACACGUGGGUAACCUGCCUUAUAGAGGGGAAUAGCCUUCCGAAAGGAAGAUUAAUACCGCAUAAAGUUGUUGAUUCGCAUGAAUCGAUAACCAAAGGAGCAGUCCGCUAUAAGAUGGACCCGCGGCGCAUUAGCUAGUUGGUGAGGUAAUGGCUCACCAAGGCGACGAUGCGUAGCCGACCUGAGAGGGUGAUCGGCCACAUUGGGACUGAGACACGGCCCAGACUCCUACGGGAGGCAGCAGUGGGGAAUAUUGCACAAUGGGGGAAACCCUGAUGCAGCAACGCCGCGUGAGUGAUGAGGGCCUUCGGGUUGUAAAGCUCUGUCUUUGGGGACGAUAAUGACGGUACCCAAGGAGGAAGCCACGGCUAACUACGUG
Molecule: ribosomal RNA, 483 nt
Filed under: uncultured Clostridiaceae bacterium
Lineage: Bacteria; Bacillati; Bacillota; Clostridia; Eubacteriales; Clostridiaceae
Description: bacterial SSU rRNA
Rfam family: Bacterial small subunit ribosomal RNA
Source: RNAcentral